CUCAAUGCCAAAAGUCACAAAAAUAGCACUCAAGGGGUGGGGUUUAGGGUAUAGAAUUUAGGGUUUAGGGUUUAGAGUUUAGGUUUUAGGGUUUAGAGUUGAGAAGUGAGAUUUUGGGGAUAAGAUUUCAAAUUUAAAAAAAUAAAAAAUUUAAAUUUUUCAAAAGAUAAAAUGCUAUUUUGGUCAUUUUAGUUUUUGAGUGCUAUUUUUGUGAUAUAAACUUAGAAAGGUGCUAUUUUGGAGAUUUGCCCUUAUUAAUUUUCACAAAACCCGUAAUGAAUUUUAUAUAUAAUAAAACACGAAUUUAUUUUAAUAAUAUUAAAUUUAUAUGUUAUA
This 336-nucleotide long non-coding RNA is filed under the name Brassica napus (rape). RNAcentral describes it as "long non-coding RNA (BNAP_LNC001847)". Lineage: Eukaryota; Viridiplantae; Streptophyta; Magnoliopsida; Brassicales; Brassicaceae. The record is from RNAcentral.